UGUGGGGGACAACUGUGUUGAAGGCGGAGCUGUAUUCAAUGGGUAGCUCAUAGCAAAGGUGUAGUCAGUUUCUAUUUGCUUCGAUUCUCAGCUCAGCUCUCCCAAAGAGCCGACCACACACUCCAGUCUAGAAGGUGGCGGUAAUGCACCUAAAGGUGUUUGCCAACCGCCAUUAAACAACUGAAGAAGAAGAAGAAGAAGACCCCACUGACAGGUGAAGAGAAUAACAGUGAUUAUUUUGUUACAGAGGCACCUGUCAGUGUGCUGGUUAUAUAAGGCAGCAAGUGAACAUUGACUCCCUUGAUGCUGAUGUGUUGGAAGCAGGAAAAAUGGGAAAGUGUCAAAAUUUGAGUGACUUUGACAAGGGCCACACUGUGGUGGUGAUAUGUCUUUUGCUCGGAGGUGACAGACCUGCUGAGUACAUCAACGCCCAGUGAAGAAGAUAACCUAAAAUGUUGUGGGCUUUCACUACAAACCUCCAGAUAAUUCAGAUUGCUUGAUGGCAAUGAAGCCAGCAGAAGGAUGACCUCAGCAGUACAGCCUUUUCUUUGGACUUGCCACCAGUAAUUUAGAGAGGGCUUUCAACAUUUGGCAAUCCUUAACCAGAUGUCAUUCUGUGGCUAAUCAGCAGCAACACUGAGGACAUGCAUAGAGACAGGGAAGUUUGUUUAUAAAUGCACCAUUUAUUAUUGAAAUCAAAGCUUUACAGAACUUUUUUUUGCAGCCAUCCCAGCUCAACCAGCUGCUUAUGAAGACUGUCUCCAUAACUGUGGUCCAGGCACAUGCAGUGAAAUGGCAUGGAGAAAAAUGUGAGGUACUCUGCUUCGAUGGCCCCACCAGUAGAGAUUUCACAUCUCAAGCCAAAACC
This is a long non-coding RNA of Monopterus albus (swamp eel), 868 nucleotides long. RefSeq lists it as uncharacterized. Lineage: Eukaryota; Metazoa; Chordata; Actinopteri; Synbranchiformes; Synbranchidae. The transcript is spliced from 4 exons. The record is from RefSeq and is a predicted model, not a curated record.